GAAGCAGGUAGCCUGACCGCAAGGAGGGCGCCUACCACGGUGUGGUCAAUGACUGGGGUG
Molecule: ribosomal RNA, 60 nt
Filed under: uncultured bacterium
Lineage: Bacteria
Description: partial 16S ribosomal RNA
Source: RNAcentral